GAUGAAGAACGUAGCGAAAUGCGAUAAGUAAUGUGAAUUGCAGAACUCAGUGAAUCAUCGAAUCUUUGAACGCACAUUGCGCCCCCUGGUAUUCCGGGGGGCAUGCCUGUCCGAGCGUCAUUGCUGCCCUCAAGCACGGCUUGUGUGUUGGGCUCCGUCCCCCCGGGGACGGGUCCGAAAGGCAGCGGCGGCACCGAGUCCGGUCCUCGAGCGUAUGGGGCUUUGUCACCCGCUCUGUAGGCCCGGCCGGCGCCAGCCGACAACCAAUCAUCCUUUUUUCAGGUUGACCUCGGAUCAGGUAGGGAUACCCGCUGAACUUAAGCAUAUCAAUAAGCGGAGGA
This 341-nucleotide unclassified non-coding RNA is filed under the name soil metagenome. RNAcentral describes it as "partial contains 5.8S ribosomal RNA, internal transcribed spacer 2, and large subunit ribosomal RNA". The stretch from base 1 to 120 matches the Rfam family "5.8S ribosomal RNA", at positions 35 to 154 of the family's 154-position model. The record is from RNAcentral.